Molecule: ribosomal RNA, 474 nt
Filed under: uncultured Chlorobiota bacterium
Lineage: Bacteria; Pseudomonadati; Chlorobiota
Description: bacterial SSU rRNA
Rfam family: Bacterial small subunit ribosomal RNA
Source: RNAcentral
GACGAACGCUGGCGGCGUGCCUAACACAUGCAAGUCAAAGGAAAGCAACUUCGGUUGUAAGUACUUGGCGCAAGGGUGAGUAAUGUAUAGGUAAUCUGCCCUUAGGACUGGCAUAACCUCGAGAAAUCGAGGACAAUACCAGAUGAUGCAGCGGGACCGCAUGGUCAUGUUGUUAAAGAUUUAUCGCCUAAGGAUGAACCUAUAUCCCAUCAGGUAGUUGGCAGGAUAAUAGCCUACCAAGCCUACGACGGGUAGCUGGUCUGAGAGGAUGAUCAGCCACAUUGGAACUGAGACACGGUCCAGACUCCUACGGGAGGCAGCAGUGAGGAAUAUUGCGCAAUGGGCGAAAGCCUGACACAGCAACGCCGCGUGGAUGAUGAAGUUCUUCGGAAUGUAAAAUCCUUUUGUCAGGGACGAACAUGUCGGUAUACCGACACUGACGGUACCUGACGAAUAAGCCACGGCUAACUCUGU